RNAcentral lists this ribosomal RNA (1566 nucleotides) under Staphylococcus aureus W73649. Its description in RNAcentral is "bacterial LSU rRNA". It matches the Rfam family "Bacterial large subunit ribosomal RNA", at positions 1361 to 2925 of the family's 2925-position model. The record is from RNAcentral. Lineage: Bacteria; Bacillati; Bacillota; Bacilli; Caryophanales; Staphylococcaceae.
AAGGCUCGUCCGCUCUGGGUUAGUCGGGUCCUAAGCUGAGGCCGACAGGCGUAGGCGAUGGAUAACAGGUUGAUAUUCCUGUACCACCUAUAAUCGUUUUAAUCGAUGGGGGGACGCAGUAGGAUAGGCGAAGCGUGCGAUUGGAUUGCACGUCUAAGCAGUAAGGCUGAGUAUUAGGCAAAUCCGGUACUCGUUAAGGCUGAGCUGUGAUGGGGAGAAGACAUUGAGUCUUCGAGUCGUUGAUUUCACACUGCCGAGAAAAGCCUCUAGAUAGAAAAUAGGUGCCCGUACCGCAAACCGACACAGGUAGUCAAGAUGAGAAUUCUAAGGUGAGCGAGCGAACUCUCGUUAAGGAACUCGGCAAAAUGACCCCGUAACUUCGGGAGAAGGGGUGCUCUUUAGGGUUAACGCCCAGAAGAGCCGCAGUGAAUAGGCCCAAGCGACUGUUUAUCAAAAACACAGGUCUCUGCUAAACCGUAAGGUGAUGUAUAGGGGCUGACGCCUGCCCGGUGCUGGAAGGUUAAGAGGAGUGGUUAGCUUCUGCGAAGCUACGAAUCGAAGCCCCAGUAAACGGCGGCCGUAACUAUAACGGUCCUAAGGUAGCGAAAUUCCUUGUCGGGUAAGUUCCGACCCGCACGAAAGGCGUAACGAUUUGGGCACUGUCUCAACGAGAGACUCGGUGAAAUCAUAGUACCUGUGAAGAUGCAGGUUACCCGCGACAGGACGGAAAGACCCCGUGGAGCUUUACUGUAGCCUGAUAUUGAAAUUCGGCACAGCUUGUACAGGAUAGGUAGGAGCCUUUGAAACGUGAGCGCUAGCUUACGUGGAGGCGCUGGUGGGAUACUACCCUAGCUGUGUUGGCUUUCUAACCCGCACCACUUAUCGUGGUGGGAGACAGUGUCAGGCGGGCAGUUUGACUGGGGCGGUCGCCUCCUAAAAGGUAACGGAGGCGCUCAAAGGUUCCCUCAGAAUGGUUGGAAAUCAUUCAUAGAGUGUAAAGGCAUAAGGGAGCUUGACUGCGAGACCUACAAGUCGAGCAGGGUCGAAAGACGGACUUAGUGAUCCGGUGGUUCCGCAUGGAAGGGCCAUCGCUCAACGGAUAAAAGCUACCCCGGGGAUAACAGGCUUAUCUCCCCCAAGAGUUCACAUCGACGGGGAGGUUUGGCACCUCGAUGUCGGCUCAUCGCAUCCUGGGGCUGUAGUCGGUCCCAAGGGUUGGGCUGUUCGCCCAUUAAAGCGGUACGCGAGCUGGGUUCAGAACGUCGUGAGACAGUUCGGUCCCUAUCCGUCGUGGGCGUAGGAAAUUUGAGAGGAGCUGUCCUUAGUACGAGAGGACCGGGAUGGACAUACCUCUGGUGUACCAGUUGUCGUGCCAACGGCAUAGCUGGGUAGCUAUGUGUGGACGGGAUAAGUGCUGAAAGCAUCUAAGCAUGAAGCCCCCCUCAAGAUGAGAUUUCCCAACUUCGGUUAUAAGAUCCCUCAAAGAUGAUGAGGUUAAUAGGUUCGAGGUGGAAGCAUGGUGACAUGUGGAGCUGACGAAUACUAAUCGAUCGAAGACUUAAUCAA